CUAGAGUGAUGCCUACAAGUCCCCAGUCAUUGUCUUAAACCUAUAGUCACCUUCAAUUCCAGAGAAAGCAGAGCUUUGUGAGCCCCUCAUGGUGAAGUCACCCUCUGAGUAGGAGCAGUUACCCCAUAUGGGACCCACAGUUGGCCCCUAAGUGGGCACCAUCAUCUCAUGAUAGCAACUGAAUCAUCCCCUCAGGUGACAAAAGCUGUCCCCAGACUUCAUAGAACCAGUCCUGAGACACCCAUCAACCAACCUUGACCAGGAUGACCUACAAGCCUUGCAUUCAAUAAAAUCCCAAGACUUUUGCCAUCAGUUCCUGGAAGGGAGAGCAAAGAGAGAGAUUUAAAUGAAGAGGAGGGAGGUAGCAAGCAGUGCUUUCUCCCAGAUCCUGGACUCAUGGCAUGGGAACAGCGAAUCAAACCUGCAGACACAUGGUGACUACUGGCGACCCCAGAGGCCUUCACAGAGAAAAGCACCAGUGGAAGGGAGCAAUGGACACAGUGGACUCCAGUGGCCGCUUAUCUCAAAUUCCAGAAACAGCAAGCUUUACACUGAAACUGUGCCUCUCAAGCAAUAACAACUUCCCUGGUGCCACCUGGGAUGCCUAUGAUCAAACCUGAGACAAGAUCAACCCUUGUUCUUCCCCCGAAUGAUUCAGCAACUACUGUUAGCACCUCAACAGGAGGAGUUCGGCUUAUCAGCUUCGGUCCUCCCUGGGUCUGGCCACACAUAAAUAAUUCUUAGCUGUUUCGCUACCACUCUCCUCACUGCUGUUGAGAUCUUUUGGGGCAAAUGGCAGACCUGAACUGCUGGGACUCAGCCAGCCAGGCCUUCUAUCCUACGUUCCAGGAAUGUUUUCAGAAAAGAACUGCACAUCCCUAACUGGCC
Long non-coding RNA from Heterocephalus glaber (naked mole-rat), 888 nucleotides. The record is from Ensembl. Lineage: Eukaryota; Metazoa; Chordata; Mammalia; Rodentia; Bathyergidae.